This 254-nucleotide ribosomal RNA is filed under the name uncultured bacterium. RNAcentral's name for it is "partial 16S ribosomal RNA". It matches the Rfam family "Bacterial small subunit ribosomal RNA", at positions 524 to 776 of the family's 1533-position model. The record is from RNAcentral.
CACGUAGGGGGCAAGCGUUGUCCGGAAUCAUUGGGCGUAAAGAGCUCGUAGGCGGCUCAGUAAGUCGGGUGUGAAACCCCCAGGCUCAACCUGGGGACGCCACCCGAUACUGCUGUGGCUAGAGUCCAGUAAAAGAGUGUGGAAUUCCCGGUGUAGCGGUGAAAUGCGCAGAUAUCGGGAGGAACACCAGCGGCGAAGGCGGCACUCUGGGCUGGUACUGACGCUGAGGAGCGAAAGCGUGGGUAGCAAACAGG